GGGGCUUCAAAUCUUCCUAUUUCUCGCAACUCUAUUGUUCUUAUCCCAUGCACAGUCCGACGUCGUUGUGAGUUCAAUCCUUCAACUACGCCCCCCCCUCCGGCACCGGCGGCCACCGCGUCGAUGGCGUGAACUGCAUGAGCUGGCGGCUGGCGGUGGAAACCAACAACCUCCAAGGCUGGAAGCUGGUGCCGAUGUCCUGCGAGACCUACGUCGGCAAUUACAUGCUCGGCAUGCAGUACCGCCUCGACUGCGAGGCCGUGGCCGACGCCGCCAUCGAGUACGCGAAGACCGUCAAACCCGCCGCCGACGGCAAGGACGUUUGGGUUUUUGAUAUUGACGAAACCACCCUCUCCAACCUCCCCUACU
This 369-nucleotide long non-coding RNA is filed under the name Salvia miltiorrhiza (redroot sage). RNAcentral describes it as "long non-coding RNA (SMIL_LNC006505)". The record is from RNAcentral. Lineage: Eukaryota; Viridiplantae; Streptophyta; Magnoliopsida; Lamiales; Lamiaceae.